This is a long non-coding RNA of Brienomyrus brachyistius, 908 nucleotides long. RefSeq lists it as uncharacterized. NCBI's taxonomy places the organism in Eukaryota, Metazoa, Chordata, Actinopteri, Osteoglossiformes, Mormyridae. The transcript is spliced from 3 exons. The record is from RefSeq and is a predicted model, not a curated record.
CCUAUAUAUGCAUAUACAUCUUCAAAGGUCCUUCAUCAAGCCCGGUCCCAAAUGUAAUUAAGAUUUUUUUCAGGAUAUAAACAAACAAGCAGAGCAGCCGGAAUAAGGGGAGGGGGCGCAGCGCAAACCUAAAAAUGUGGACUGUCUGAAGGUUCCUGAGGACUGGAUGAGGAAACACUACCUUACUGCAUACCCUGUCCAAGGUCACAGGGGGGCUUGGAGCCUAUUGAAGACAGCUUAGGACGCAAGGCUGGGGUCCGGCCUGGAUGGGAUACCAGCCCAUUACAGGAAAAUAAAGACAGCGGUGGAAAGCAAAGACUCCAGGUAUCGGGCUGUCAGCUCCUUUUCGUCUGCGGUGUUUCAUCGACGAUGUGGAAGCCGGCGUGCAGGGAAGCGCCUGGGAUCUGAGAGCUGAGAUUCGGGGCCAAGUUUUCCCGAGUGCUGCACCACCCAAAGUAAAUCUUAACUCUUUCGUUUCAGAUUCAUUCUGUUUGGUUUUAAUUGGUAGAUAUCGGUCCUAUUAGAUGCUGUGCAUCCCAAACUGUGAGUCUCAAACGCAUUUAGUACACACAGGCAGAAAAAAUUAUGUUCAUGAAGCAGAAUUGAUAUUGGUAUGAAAAAACUAAUGUUUCUGCCUCAAAAGACAGAAGUCGGGGAUCACGGGAGUCCUGAACCUUAAGACAUUCAGCUGGUGAGUUAAACAUGAGAAAGGUGAUCAAUCACUUAACAGACUGAUUAGGUAAGACUGAUUUUACAGUGCUGGAUUAAGGUCCUGUAAUCCUUACGCUCCAAGGCAUCUAAAACCAUAAAACAAAAGAAAAUUAUCAUUCUGAAACUUUUUUUGGCAGAUACUGCUACAUUGUCUACUAUCGUUAUUACAAUGGAAAGUUUCAACAGGGGUAUAACAG